Non-coding RNA from Pelodiscus sinensis (Chinese soft-shelled turtle), 1522 nucleotides. The record is from RefSeq and is a predicted model, not a curated record. Lineage: Eukaryota; Metazoa; Chordata; Testudines; Trionychidae.
UUUUAACAAAUUGCUAUUUGUUUUUCAGGAAACCUUAUGUCAUCCGCUAGGGGAAUGGGAAAAGUGCACAAAUGGGAGGUGUGCAGCUGGCAGUGACAAUGCAAAUGACACAUGAGACAAUUGCUCAUCCUUAAAUUGAUUUAAGGAUCUUCACGCAAGCUCGUCUUGAAUAAGAAUAUUGCAGCCUGCUCUCCCUUGGACUGUUCCCUCCCUCUUUCCAACAUCUUAUCAUCAGUUUCACGAUUAUGCAGCACAGAUCAAUUCUUAUGAAUACUGACAGAAAGCCAGACAACAUAACCAUCUGACUUCUCAGAAAUAGCCCACAAUACUGCAUAAAUUAUCCAAGCUCCCAGGUGGUCAGCUCCUUCUUCCAUUUUACAGCUUGCACCACAAUCUGUGAAGAACACAUCUCUUCCACCUCCCACCUGUAUUCAGCCAUCUGUGUUUACAGUCCCAAGAUUUCAGCCCAGUUCAAGUCAUCUGUAACAGCCUUCUCCUCCAGCCCCAUAUUGUAGACUCUUAUCAUGGACCAUAGGAACAAGGUAACAUGAACAGAGGAGAAGCAGCACAUUCUGCAAAAUGGUGUCCAUGCAUCUGAGUUCCAACAGGUGAAAGCUGGCCUGUGCUGUUAUGGAUGUUCAUGAAAUCAAGGUGAUGUCCUAUAUUCUGGAAGCAUCAAUGGCCAACCUAUGUGUAGUCCUUCCAGCAGACAGUCUGGGUCCUUGAACUGUUCAGAGCUUUCUCAUUGCUUAUAUCUUCCACAACCCAAGAGGUUUCAGACCUGAAAUUUACUGCUCUUAUCAAACUGGCCUGAAAAGAAUAGGCCACCUCUCUUGGCUCACAGGCCAUUACUGUGCACAUGUGGAAGCUGAGGAAUCUGGUUUUCCAGUAGCAAGCUCCUAGGUUUUAGGAUUAUUCUACAUCAGUGAUAACAGCACUAGGACUGAGGAUAGGUGCAAGGAGGUGACGGCAUCUUCAUGAAAAGCAGCAUCCUCCAUGUCAAUCAUAUAUUCAGGAGCAGUAAGACCAACGAUUCACAAUACUCCUUCAGUCUUUUGUCUGCUCUGAAAAACAAUCCAGCCACUCACUGGAAAAACAGAUCCAGUUCUUGGUAUGAUGAGAUUUGAAAAGUCCACGCUUUGCAUUUGCUCUUUGCAGGCAUUUGAGAUCACAUCCUGCUGUGUCAAAUGGACAGCAUAUAAUAGAAAGCAUGACAGCUCACACCACUUCAUUUUUGUACAAUUCCAAAGGAAGGGGUUCCAAUAAUAAGGGCUAAAAAUAUCACCCAGUUACCAGGGAAGAUAUUUCUGUCUCAUGUGUCUACGCUCUUUCUUUAAUGAGUCACUGUGACACAGCCUGAUACUCCAUCUUUUACUCACUGAGCAAUCCUAUUUAUUUCCGUUAGGGCAUGCGGGGCCUAUUCUUUGCUGCCUACCAUCCAUCAAGUCUUGACCUUGCUGGAGCAUAUGAUUUGCUAGUGUAAGCGGGGGAAUGAUCCCGCUAUUGUGGGGAACUUUCCUGG